Long non-coding RNA from Gasterosteus aculeatus aculeatus (three-spined stickleback), 633 nucleotides. Lineage: Eukaryota; Metazoa; Chordata; Actinopteri; Perciformes; Gasterosteidae. The record is from Ensembl.
UCCCACUGAACGGAAAAAGUCCACUUCGGUUUUUCCGCGAAGCUCCAAAAAUCCAUGAAAUGUGUUUGCAUGUUCCUCUCUGCAAGCGGGGAUGUAGAGGUGGGAUCGCGAGGACCGAGGAAGCUGGGGGGAACCCACGCGCUCAGCCUCACAGAAAGUACGCUUUUUACCAAAUAACUAACGCUGAAUAUUUGUAUUUCUUCUUUUUUUUUCUUUUUUUACAUUUGUCACUAGCAGGCGGCCACUCCGUAUGAGUGUGUUCUCGGAGAAUAAGCUCUUUUUUUUCUGCCCUUUUUCUUUUUUCUUUUUUUUUGGUCACCAUUCUGCACGGCAGGCUGAGAGACGGAGCGCUCGGGCUGUGGGAGCCUUUCCGUCCCCCCCCCCCACCCCCUCACCCCCUCCAACCCCCCCUGCUCGGAUAUCUGCUUCGGUAGCUUCCGGACGGCCCAUGGAACCACGUGGAUGAGGGCUGAGCUGUAGAGCGGGCAGAAGCCUGCCUGUCGUCGGCCCGGGGCCCGUCGCGCCACCGAGGUCAAGCGCCAAUCGCAGAAAACGGACCGAGACGAGGUCUUUGCUCCCACUCCUCGCUCACCCCCGCCCCCCUUUCCACCCUCCCCCUCCCACCCCCCCCCC